UACGUAGGGGGCAAGUGUGGUCCGGAUUUAUUGGGCGUAAAGAGCGUGUAGGCGGCCAGGUAGGUCUGCUGUGAAAACUCGAGGCUUAACCUCGAGCUGUCGGCGGAAACCAUCUGGCUAGAGUCCGGAAGAGGAGAAUGGAAUUCCCGGUGUAGCGGUGAAAUGCGCAGAUAUCGGGAAGAACACCCGUGGCGAAGGCGGUUCUCUGGGACGGUACUGACGCUGAGACGCGAAAGCGUGGGGAGCGAACAGG
Molecule: ribosomal RNA, 253 nt
Filed under: uncultured bacterium
Lineage: Bacteria
Description: partial 16S ribosomal RNA
Rfam family: Bacterial small subunit ribosomal RNA
Source: RNAcentral